RNA transcript from Mus musculus (house mouse), 1856 nucleotides. It is a transcript of the gene named acid phosphatase 4, with no coding region annotated. Lineage: Eukaryota; Metazoa; Chordata; Mammalia; Rodentia; Muridae. The transcript is spliced from 11 exons. The record is from RefSeq and is marked validated.
GGGCAUUUUGGGUAGAAGAGACAUUCACACUGGGGAUUGGUGGGGAAGGGGAUGUGGGUGUGUAAUUCACUCAUGGUACCUAAAUCCAGCAUGAAGACCUAUGAGAUUGGAGAGUACGGACCUGGAUCUCCACACUGGGUUCUCUUUUCUUCCCUAGAGUGUGCUGGGGAGCCAUGGGAGAGUUGUGAGCAGGGAAGGAACAGAUUGGCUCUGGUGUUCCGACAUGGCGACCGGGCCCCACUGGCCUCCUACCCCACAGAUCCACACAAGGAAGCUGCCUCCACCUUGUGGCCUCGAGGCUUGGGCCAACUGACUAAGGAGGGGAUCCGCCAGCAGCUAGAACUGGGCCGAUUUCUGAGGAGGCGUUACAAGGCUUUCCUGAGCCCUGAGUACAAGCGAGAAGAGGUGUACAUCCGCAGCACAGACUUUGACCGGACAUUGGAGAGUGCACAAGCCAACCUGGCUGGGCUCUUCCCUGAGGCUGCCCCUGGAAGUCCUGAGACUGACUGGAAGCCCAUUCCAGUGCACACAGUGCCUGUGUCUGAGGACAAGUUGCUGAGGUUCCCCAUGCGCAGCUGUCCUCGAUACCAUGAGCUGUUACGAGAGUCCACAGAGGCAGCUGACUACCAGGAGGCCCUGGAGGGCUGGACGGACUUCCUGACCCGCCUGGGCAACUUCACUGGGCUGUCCCUGGUUGGAGAGCCACUCCGGAGAGCAUGGAAAGUUCUGGAUACCUUGAUCUGCCAGCGUGCCCAUGGUCUUGACCUUCCAUCCUGGGCCUCUCCAGAUGUCUUGAGGACUCUGUCACAGAUUUCUGCUCUGGAUAUCAGGGCCCAUGUAGGCCCACCCCGAGCAGCAGAAAAGGCCCAGCUGACAGGGGGGAUCCUGCUGGAUGCUAUUCUCAGCAAUUUCUCCCGGACCCAGCGCCUUGGGUUGCCCCUCAAGAUGGUCAUGUACUCAGCUCAUGACAGCACCCUGCUGGCCCUCCAGGGGGCCCUGGGCCUCUACGAUGGGAACACCCCACCUUACGCUGCCUGCAUGGCCUUUGAAUUCCGGGGGAGCUCCAGGGAACCCGAGGAGGAAGAUGGAGAGAAUGUCACUGUCUCUCUCAUCUACCGCAAUGACACCUCCCGCCCACCCCUGCCACUCAGGGUCCCUGGGUGCCCAGCUCCCUGUCCACUUGGGCGCUUCCAGCAGCUGACUGCUCCAGCCCGGCCUCCAGCCCAUGGGGCCCCCUGCCAUGGUUCUUAUGAGCCUGCCAGCCCCCCAGGUGACAGCCCUCUACGCUGGGGUGGGAGUGGGGAGUUCCCAAGGCCUGGGAUUCACAACCCCCAUGUUCUUCCUGCAGCCACGGUGCCCCUGCUGGCCGGAGCUGUGGCUGUGCUGGCCGUGCUAAGCCUGGGGCUUGGUCUUCUGGCCUGGAGGCCCAGAUGCCUGCGGGCCCUGGGAGGGACUGUGUGAGGGGGGAUGAAUAGACACAAAAAUACCCCGAGCUGACACUGGAUCCCAACACGUGUGCUCACUUGCUGCUCUGGCUUGUCACUUACUGUGCUCAUGCGCGUGUGGGGAUGAAGGCUGGGUGGGCCUCAAGCAUUAUGCUUGCUUGGACACUGCAAUCAGGUGUUGUACAUACAGGUGUCGGGGCUCACAAUAAGCACGUGUGCAGGUGGGAACCUGUAGCCUGAGAGCACACAGGACUCAAUUGCCUUAAGCAACUCUAACCCUGGUAUGGUGGCAGAACAGAUAGAGAUAGAGAUCCCUCCACUUGAGGGAGCCUGCCAGCCCCCCAGACCGCUGGAGUAUCCUCUGGAAACAGGCCAAAGGUGGGCAAGUGCGCCUGUGCCUCACCUGCUCUG